RNAcentral lists this long non-coding RNA (335 nucleotides) under Lathyrus oleraceus (garden pea). RNAcentral describes it as "Pisum sativum (pea) long non-coding RNA (PSAT_LNC039729)". Lineage: Eukaryota; Viridiplantae; Streptophyta; Magnoliopsida; Fabales; Fabaceae. The record is from RNAcentral.
UACAAGGAAAAUGAGAACAACAGGGAAAUACUGACAACCUUAUCCAUACAUAAGGGUAAAAAGGUCAAUACCACCGAGUCAACAGAAAAUUCGCAUAAACAGAGUACAAAGAAAUGAAUCCCAUCCAACAAGCCUGGAGGUGAUUCUCAACAAUGAAGAUCCAAAGACGGAGUACAAACAAAUGAAUCCCAUCCAACAAGCCUGGAGGUGAUUCUCAACAAAACACAAACAAAGAUACAAACUAAGACAGACGGUCUUCUGGAAUGAGGGUCUUCAGGUAAUGGCACUGGUCUAUCAACAGUGUGCAUUCUGAACAUUCUGGUAGAGGGGUAAUC